Oncorhynchus masou masou (cherry salmon) is the source of this 627-nucleotide long non-coding RNA. RefSeq lists it as uncharacterized. NCBI's taxonomy places the organism in Eukaryota, Metazoa, Chordata, Actinopteri, Salmoniformes, Salmonidae. The transcript is spliced from 3 exons. The record is from RefSeq and is a predicted model, not a curated record.
UGAAGCCAUUGACAGUGCCUUCCGCGUAAAGCGACACAAUGUCUCCAAUAUGAAGAAAACUAGAUCUGUUGUCUGACAUUUUCGCUUAAUUCUGUCCAAAAGUUGGCUUUCCAGGACAAUGACCCAACACACCUCCAGGCUGUGUAAGGGCUAUAUGACCAAGGAGAGUGAUGGAGUGCUGCAUCAGAUGACCUGGCCUCCACAAUCACCCGAGCUCAACCCAAUUGAGAUGGGUUGGGUUGAGUUGGACCGCAGUGAUGGAAAAGCAGCCAACAAGCACUCAGCAUAUGUGGCAACUCCUUCAAAACGGUUGGAAAAGCAUUCCUCAUGAAGCUGGUGGAGAGAAUGCCAAACAAAUAUUUUCCUGUCCUCGCGGAAGAGUUGAGCUCUUCUCCAACACCUUCUAUCCAUGAUGAGCCCGUCAUGUACUGAAGUCAAGCCACUGAAGACAUCAACCCGUCCUGUCAUGUCCUGAAGCCAAGCCUCUGAACACAUCAAGUCUCGCAGCACUCGGACUGGUCAGACACCAAACGAUAUCCUGUACCUGGCAGCAGCUUCCAUGGUCAACUUGGACAGCCUGAUCCCCCAGCAUCUGUCCAUACAGUACCGCCUGCUGGCUUGUGAAAA